RNAcentral lists this long non-coding RNA (6582 nucleotides) under Mytilus galloprovincialis (Mediterranean mussel). The record is from RNAcentral. Lineage: Eukaryota; Metazoa; Mollusca; Bivalvia; Mytilida; Mytilidae.
AGAUUUGUUGAGCGCUUUGAAAAUACAGCAGAUUUUUCACAGAUUAUAAGUAGAAUUACAAUUUAUCAUAGAUCACGAUCCGAUACAAGAUCUUACACGAUACUAUCGCAAUGAUUAGCCACCUUUAGAUAUUCUUUCAUGAUCAUUUUUCUCCAUAUAACGAAUGACAACCAUGGUCAGGUAAUGAAAAUACAAUUAAUUGAAAAACAAUUCUACACAAAUGAAAUUUCAAUAAUUCACACAAUGUUUCAAUAAUGACUUAAAAAUCAUCAAAACUCGUCAAAAUUAGUUUCUCUAAACAUGUUAAAUUAAAGAAGGUAUUUUCAAAAAUCAUUUGUCAUUCAGUUGCAAAUUCUUUCAAUAAAAUAGGGAAAAACUAAAUAGAAAUCAUCUAUAGUCACAAUAUAUGUAUGCUUUAGAUCGCAUUAUUACUACAUUUAAAUUGGCAUAUAACUACAUUUAAAUUGAAAUAUUACUACACUAAAAUUAGAUGAACAUUUCAGUUGGAUGUUCUUUCCCAAAGCCAUUAGCCAUUCGGUCACGAAGUAUUUUGAUUAAUAUGGACAUACAUAAUAGUAAAUAUACAUAGUUAUGAUUCAUCUAUGAUUGUAAUUGAAAUAUAAUACAUAUCACUACAAUCUUAAUUAGUUGGACAUUUAAUUUCGUCGAUAAAAAAUUAGGCACGCUGAUGAGCAAUGUAGAAUAAUUUUGUCUUCAUUUAUAUACCAUGUAGGCACUCAAAAUACAUAAACUAUUUAAAAUAAUAAUAUACGGAUGCGUAAAAUCUUUUGGCUAAUGAACUCAAAAAGAAUAUUAUGCUCCACCCUUAUAAGUGGGUGUCUAUGGGUGCUAAUGCCAAUCUUGAUUAUAAUUAUUUGGGUCAAUGUUUGAUUGAUUUUCAUGUAAACAUGUUGGUUCUAUCAAUCGAACAUAUGGUUCAGGGGGUCCCAGUCUGUCCUACAACUACAAUACACUGACGUCAUAGCAUACACUAUUUUCCUUUGUAUUGAUGUUAGUUACCCGUGUUUUUGAAUUAUUGCCAGAUAAUCGGAAUCCCCUAGUUUUAUCCAUAUAUUGUCAUUAACAAAAAUCCCCAAUAUACCCAAUUUUUCUUUUCAAUAUUUCAUUACAAUAUAGUUUAGAAAUCCAUAUUUGAAAAGGCUAUCAAAUCCUUGUUAUUUUUAUUGUUUUUGAAAAAUGUUGCCAAUGUAUAAUUUAUCAAAAGUCAAGAGAGAAUCAUUUCCCGCCGAAUUUCAUAUGACUUAUAUCUGUAAAACAUGCACACUAACCCUUAAUGAUUUUCUGUUUUUUUUUUUAGUUCCAUGGCACAGAUCGAAAAACGACCAAAGAUACCAACAGUUAACAAAACACAACAUAGAAAAGUUAACCAUGUGUUAACUAUAUUCUGAGCAACACCACAAAAAUUCGUGUAGAUAUAAGGUGUUAUUGAAGGGUAAGCUGGUUUUGUUCCUCAUUUGACAUCCGUAGGUUUGUAUGAGAUUUCCCUUAUUUUCAGUCUCCUAAAUUCUGCUAAAUACAAGUAUUUUAAAAUCUUUAUCGUGUGACUUGCAAUUAUAUUGAGUCCUAGCUUAUUGCUUUCGGUUUUUGUGUUGGGGAUGUGAGUUGUUGGAGGAUCCGAUACCUCUCUGGCCGAGUGUUCAAGGGCAGUUCAUCACUAACCUUAAAAUUCGUAAUUUCAAUCAAGCAGAUUUCUUAAAGCGUCUGACAGUUUUUAAGUUUCCUCGCUUCUUAGAUUUUCAUUGGGGGUAUGAAUAACUCUCGAACUUAAUCUAAUUGAAUAUUCCUGCUAAUUUCAAAAACAAAUAAUUAGAAGCAAUAGAAGUGUACCAUUGUUGUUAUUUCACAAAUAAAUUAAGAAGACAAAAAUACAAUAAAAAAGGGCUAUCGUUUGAACUCCAAAAGGAACCAAAAUAAAUAAGUCGGUAGGAAAUGUUCUCCUGUUGUGCAUAUGUUCCAGACCAUAUGAGUAUUUGGACCCUACGCGUAUGGUCAUAACGAUAUCGGAAUAUACUCAUAUGGUCUGCCCAUACGCGUAUGGUCCGACCGUACGCGUAUGGUCGGGGUAAUUAACAUUCUGUUACAGCUUACUUUUAAUACUUCUAAACUCUCCAUAUGGUAUGACCGUUCAUUAAAAAGACGCUAUCAUAUAGGUAAUUUCAUUAUUAUGUUAUGAUAAAAAGAUUAGGUAAACAAAAAUUAAAAGCUUCACAAAGUUUAUUUUAUAAUAAACACAUUUUAUACCGAUGGUCAUUACCGAAGACCAUUGCCGAUUUGUUAUUACGGAUGAACGGCAAUAUGUCGACGUAAAUAAUUAAAUUCCUAAAUUUUCUAAAUGAACUGUUACUGGAAAGUAACAUAGUUUAUUUUAAAUGUCUUGUGAAUAUGGUGUAUUGCAGUCAUUUUGCGAUAUUUGAGAUCUAGUCAGAGCUUCUUAAAAAAACCGUAGAGAUCAGAAUGGCCAAAGCUCUCGGUAUCACUGUACGCAGCUGCAAAAAGGCUAGCUUUUCACUCCCAAACCAAAAGGUGUAACUGAAAAGGAUCGUGCACUACCAAGACUCUCAAAUGCAAACAAAGUCAUGAUACCGUGUGGUAGUAAAUGUCACCCCAAGCCUGCAUGCAAGAAUGUAACUAUCGAUGAAAACUAACUAUGGCAUCAAUAUUUAAUUUUUACGUAAUUUUCGAAUUAUGAAAUUAACAAAUUGUCAUGUAACCAGCAUUGUUUUUUUUUAAAAGUUUUUGUAAUAUUGGAACGUUUAUAAUGUAAUUUGAAAAAAAUACGUAAAUGGUAAAUACUCAUAUGGUCCGGUCCGUUCAUAACCAAACGAGUAUAAACCUCAUAUGGUCCGAUUUGAAGUGACACAACGGUUUAUCUCCAUUUAAAGUUGUGGGCACAUUAAAUACAAAUUAAAGUUUAAAAAAGAUGAAUGAACCUGCAUUUUUAUCGAAAUAUCUGUUUUUGUAUGGGAGACGAACAAAUGAGUUACUUAUCUCGAGAACAAACUGUAGGACAAUGUAAGUUGCUGGUACAGAUUCAUGUCUACAUUAAUUUUAUAAUGAGCAAAAUACGUGUUCACAAUCAUUGCAUAAGGCACAUAUAGCACAAAAACAUUUAUAUGGUUUAUGUUGAAAUAAUGCAAUGAGUAUGUAUAUUUGAAAUAGUGAUAGUAAACAAGUUACUACUAAUUUAAAACAGGACUUCAUGUUCGUGUAUUUUUCUAUUCAUUUGGUUUAUGCUUCAUUGCCAUACGUAUAUUGUGAUGUUUUGUUUUAUGUUUUUAAUUUAUUAACUCAUCAUAGAUACAAGGAUUGCAUUUUUUUAUUUUAUUUUCGCUACACGCGCGUUUCGUCUAUAAAAGUCUCAUCAGUGACGCUCGAAAAAAGGUAAAAAGUCCAAAAUAAUGUACGAUGUUAAAGUUGAAGGUAUACAACAUACUUCAGACGUUUGAUAAAUUUUGUACAUGCCUUUAUGUUUAUCAUUUCAAGAACUUUUAAUAACAAAUGUUGGCUAGCGACCCUUUAACUUUUAUUGACUUCUCAACUUGUCCGGAGAUGAAUCAGAGCCAUACAUGUUGAACUUUUUAAAACUAUGAUUGUUGACCUCAAGACCUCAAGACCUCAAGACAGAAAGUAGAUUCAUUUCGUAGGCUUUAAGUUGACCUUUUGUGUACCUGACAGAAAUGACAGAAGGAAGUCAUAGUUGUAGAACUGUCAUAGGUUGUAAUGGUAAACACAUGUUGUUAAAUCAAUUCAUGAAUAUUUGCUAUUUUGUCUAUUCAUAAUAUAAAUGUUGACCAAUGGAAAACUAUGUUCAUAUGAGUCCUUUGUUAAUAUUGUUGCCUUUAAAACAAAACUACCGUUUUCCCUACAGGGAGAUGUUCAUAACUGUAGAUUGCCAUGAUCUGGGGGUUCAAAUAGUAUUUAUAAUACUAUUUUUUAUUGAUAAUUUGUAACCUUAAUAACGAUAUACAAAAAUAGAUAACGCUAAGUUCUUAAUGAUUGUAAAUAGCUAAUGGGAAAGAUCAAUUGAGUAGAAAAUAUUUUAAAACGUAUAUUUAUAGAUUUUACCACAAUACACCAGUCUUUAUUAUAUGUAUUAAAACAAAAUAUUUCGCUUUCAUAAUGUCAAACGUGAGCCUUACGUAUUUAUUUUUUUGAAAAUGCAAAGAAUACGAAUCUAACACAUAUUAGCAGGAACAUGAAUCAAACAAAAUAAUCAAUUUAAUAAGGUGACGUAUGAGUUUGGAUACAUUAAGUAAAAACAAAAAAAAAAACGAACAAUCGUAACAACAUGAAAGUGAAGUAGAAACUAAUAACAAAAAUUUAUACAGCUAAUUAUAUUUCAAAUAUUUAUAAUUUGUUAAAGAUAUGACUAUAAUACUAAAAACCGCUCAACAAAAUUUCUCCACUGAGUUUCAAAUGACAAUAUUAAUGAAAUAACAAGUUGUUAAACCUAUUUUGCUAUAAAUCAUUAUAAUUUGCCAAUAUUGUAGUUUUCAAUAUAUUCAUUAUUCAUCAGAUGUUUCAAAUUGGUUUGGCCUUUCCUCUUUACUUUCUAAUAAAUGUGCGAAAAGUAAAAAAAGAGCAAUAUAGUUACAAUAUAGUUAUGCAACACAAGGGACAUCUGAUAAUAUAACAAUGAAGUAAAACAUUUUAAUUUAAACAGAAAUUUGUCAUUUAUUGAAAAUAAGGUAAUUUGUCUGUCGGAACUUAAUGCACUGUACAAUCCAUCAGUGUUUCAUAAUCUCAAAGUUUCUUCAGAACUGGUUGGAAAACUUCUUUUUCUACAGGCUUUUAAAAUAUCUGAUCAUUUUUUUUAUAGCUUAUUAUAACUAAUUAUAAGAAGAUGUGGUAUGAUUGCCAAUGCGACAACUCUGCACAAAAGAUCAAACGACAUACAAAUAUUAACAGCUUUUGUUCUGCAGUUAUGCAACACAAGGGGCAUCUGAUAAUAUAACAAUGAAGUAAAACAUUUUAAUUUAAACAGAAAUUUGUCAUUUAUUGAAAAAGUAAUUGUCUGUCGAACUUAUGCACUGUACAAUCCAUCAGUGUUUCAUAAUCUCAAAGUUUCUUCAGAACUAGUUUGAAAACUUCUUUUUCUACAGGCUUCUUAAAAUAUCUGAUCAAUUUUUUUUAUAUUUAUUAUAACUAAUUAUAAGAAGAUGUGGUAUGAUUGCCAAUGAGACAACUCUGCACAAAAGAUCAAAUGACAUAGAAAUAUUAACAGCUUUUGUUCACAAAGAUUAUUUGGAGCUUUAUAUAUUAGUUUAUACGUUAGUCCGUAGAGAGUUUUGUCUUUCACUUUCCUCGAUUUGAUUGUACAGUUAUUAAAUUGGCAAAAAGUUAUGUAGAUCCAUUCCUUGUUAAAAACAAGUAUUUUAGAAUACUAAAGUAAGGACUAGAGAAGUCUGAUACCUUUAUCAAAGAGGGGCGAAAGAUACCAGAAGGACAGUGAAACUCAAAGACAGAAAAUGAACUGACAACGACAUGGCUAAAAUUGAAAAAGACAAAAGAAAAAUAAUGGUACACAUAGAUUAACACAGAAAACUUAGGAAUAAUUAACAGGAACUCCCCUUCACCCCCCAAAAAAAUGGGGGUGAUUUCAGGUGCUCCGGAAGCGUAAGCAGAUCAUGCCCCUCAUGUGUCACGCAUCGUGUUACUCAUGUUACAAAUCCGGUAAAUAAUCUGAUUCGGUAGGUCACAUUCAUGAAAAGGGAAGGGGAUUGUAGUUACAACGUAUAAGGAACAUAUCCUAUAGCAUCUUUGAAACGGUUAUUUCAUAACGGUCAACCAACUUGUGAUGGCGUCCGUAAAUUUACAAAGGGAUGAUUUCAACUUCACCAUUCAGAACUCUUGAUUUAAUAGCUUCCUUGUGAGCAGCAAUCAUCUAUUAAGGAAAUCAUGAUAGGAAAUACAAGCAAUGAAAUAUAGCAUGCAGGAGGAACUCGACUUUGAUUUUAUGUACUCUAACAGAUCUUAUCAAAAAGUAAUGUUUUACCGUAAUAUUGAAACCCGGUUUGAUUGCUGAUACAAUUGGUAUUAUAAUUUUAAAAGAGGCUUCGUUAAGCUUUUGACAAAGUUAAUCUUAAAAGUCUGAUAAACAAAAUAAAAGCUCAUGGUACUAAUGAAAGCUUUUAUUAUUGGUUUACAGAUUGAUAGAAAAGGGAUCCGGAGAGCAUAAAUGGAUGGAGAGUUGUCUCAUUUGCACUCACACCACAUCUUCUAUAUAUUUGUAAUGCAAGAAAAUAAUUCGUCUCUUCGAGAUAUUUCAGCUGGUGUUCAGCAAGAAUCCGUACCGGACCAUCUGUGAUUUGGAUAUUAAUUAUUUACGCGAUACAUCACUGCGUAUGCGUUUUACUAGUGACACGUCUCCACAUAGUAAUUAUUGUAACGAAUGAGAACAUAAAAUAAAAUAAAACUCCGUAGUAAUUUUCCGUAGAGGAAAAUUGAACCUCUCCUAUGUCGAAAAUUGAACCCAAUGAUAAUUUUUUGACUCUUCAAUAAGUUAUCUAGGUUACAAAAUGAAAUAUAAUAUAAUGAAAUACGCAUUUUGCAAAUGCUUCU